RNAcentral lists this ribosomal RNA (693 nucleotides) under uncultured bacterium. RNAcentral describes it as "bacterial SSU rRNA". It matches the Rfam family "Bacterial small subunit ribosomal RNA", at positions 79 to 772 of the family's 1533-position model. The record is from RNAcentral.
GCAAUACCAUGAGAGCGGCGCACGGGUGAGUAACGCGUACACGACCUACCUCUAACAGGGGGAUAGCCCUGGGAAACUGGGAUUAAUACCGCAUAUAAUUYUGAUAUWUAAAAGUUYRRAAUGAAAGUUCAGGCGGUUAGAGAUGGGUGUGCGUCUGAUUAGCUAGUUGGUAAGGUAACGGCUUACCAAGGCGAUGAUCAGUAGGGGGCGUGAGAGCGUGRUCCCCCACACGGGUACUGAGACACGGACCCGACUCCUACGGGAGGCAGCAGUAAGGAAUAUUGGUCAAUGGGCGCAAGCCUGAACCAGCCAUCCAGCGUGCAGGAAGAAGGCCCUACGGGUUGUAAACUGCUUUUGUCAGGGAAGAAACCUUUGGAUUUACUCCGAAGCUGACGGUACCUGAAGAAUAAGCACCGGCUAACUCCGUGCCAGCAGCCGCGGUAAUACGGAGGGUGCGAGCGUUAUCCGGAAUUACUGGGUUUAAAGGGUGCGUAGGCGGCUAUGUAAGUCAGGAGUGAAAGUUUGCGGCUCAACCGUAAAAUUGCUUUUGAUACUGCAUGGCUAGAAUCAGGAUGAGGUUAGCGGAAUGUGGCAUGUAGCGGUGAAAUGCAUAGAUAUGCCAUAGAACACCAAUUGCGAAGGCAGCUGGCUAGACCUGCAUUGACGCUGAGGCACGAAAGCGUGGGGAGCGAA